UAGUAGUAGUUAUGUUCUUGAAACUUAAAAAAUUUGGCGGUAUUUUAGUCUAUCCAGAGGAACCUGUUUUGUAAUCGAUAAUCCACGAUGGACCUUACUUAGACUUGUAAUCAGUUUAUAUACCGUCGUUAUAAGAAUAUUUUAUAAGAAUAAAAAUAUUCAAUAAUUUUUAUUAAAAUUUAUAUCAGAUCAAGGUGUAGCUUAUGUUUAAGUAAUAAUGGGUUACAAUAAAUUUAUUUAAACGAAUAAAAUUAUGAAAAAAUUUUUGAAGGUGGAUUUGGUAGUAAAAUUAUAAAGAUUAAUAAUUUGAUUUUAGCUCUAAAAUAUGUACAUAUCGCCCGUCGCUCUUAUUAUUAAGGUAAGAUAAGUCGUAACAUAGUAGAUGUACUGGAAAGUGUAUCUAGAAUGA
RNAcentral lists this ribosomal RNA (409 nucleotides) under Drosophila signata. RNAcentral describes it as "partial 12S ribosomal RNA". The record is from RNAcentral. Lineage: Eukaryota; Metazoa; Arthropoda; Insecta; Diptera; Drosophilidae.